RNAcentral lists this unclassified non-coding RNA (336 nucleotides) under soil metagenome. RNAcentral describes it as "partial contains 5.8S ribosomal RNA, internal transcribed spacer 2, and large subunit ribosomal RNA". The stretch from base 1 to 120 matches the Rfam family "5.8S ribosomal RNA", at positions 35 to 154 of the family's 154-position model. The record is from RNAcentral.
GAUGAAGAACGCAGCGAAAUGCGAUAAGUAAUGUGAAUUGCAGAAUUCAGUGAAUCAUCGAAUCUUUGAACGCACAUUGCGCCCGCCAGUAUUCUGGCGGGCAUGCCUGUUCGAGCGUCAUUUCAACCAUCAAGCCCCCGGCUUGUGUUGGGGACCUGCGGCUGCCGCAGGCCCUGAAAAGCAGUGGCGGGCUCGCUGUCACACCGAGCGUAGUAGCAUACAUCUCGCUCUGGGCGUGCUGCGGGUUCCGGCCGUUAAACCACCUUCAUAACCCAAGGUUGACCUCGGAUCAGGUAGGAAGACCCGCUGAACUUAAGCAUAUAAAUAAGCGGAGGA